Small nuclear RNA from Fukomys damarensis (Damara mole-rat), 85 nucleotides. Its record names the gene U4. It matches the Rfam family "U4 spliceosomal RNA". From Rfam's summary of the family: U4 small nuclear RNA (U4 snRNA) is a component of the major U2-dependent spliceosome. The structure of U4 snRNA from yeast and human has been reported. The record is from Ensembl. Lineage: Eukaryota; Metazoa; Chordata; Mammalia; Rodentia; Bathyergidae.
AGCUUUGCACAGUGGCUGUAUCGUAGCCAAUGCGGUUUCUCCGAGGCACGAUUAUUGCUAAUUGAAAAAUUUCCCCUAAUUCCGC